Molecule: ribosomal RNA, 492 nt
Filed under: uncultured bacterium
Lineage: Bacteria
Description: partial 16S ribosomal RNA
Rfam family: Bacterial small subunit ribosomal RNA
Source: RNAcentral
AUUGAACGCUGGCGGCAUGCUUUACACAUGCAAGUCGAACGGUAACAGGCCUUCCGGCGCUGACGAGUGUCGAACGGGUGAGUAAUGCAUCGGAACGUAUCCAGUGGCGGGGGAUAACGCAGCGCAAGCUGUGCUAAUACCUCAUGCGAUCUGAGGAUGUGAGCGGGGGACCGCGCAGCAAUGUUUCGCUCCUCCUCUCUGUAGUGGCUGAUGCCGGAUUAGCUAGUUGGUUGGGUAAAGGCCUACCAAGGCGACGAUCCGUAGCUGGACUGAGAGGACGACCAGCCACACUGGGACUGAGACACGGCCCAGACUCCUACGGGAGGCAGCAGUGGGGAAUUUUGGGCAAUGGGCGCAAGCCUGAUCCAGCAAUGCCGCGUGAGGGAAGAAGGCCUUCGGAUUGCAAACCGCUUUUGGCAGGGACGAAAAGGUGUCCACUAAUACCGGGCGCUAAUGACGGUACCUGCAGAAUAAGCAACGGCUAACUACGUG